AUUGAACGCUGGCGGCAUGCCUUACACAUGCAAGUCGAACGGUAACAGGUCUUCGGAUGCUGACGAGUGGCGAACGGGUGAGUAAUACAUCGGAACGUGCCUAGUAGUGGGGGAUAACUACUCGAAAGAGUGGCUAAUACCGCACGAGAUCUACGGAUGAAAGCAGGGGGUCGCAAAACCUUGUGCUACUAGAGCGGCCGAUGGCAGAUUAGGUAGUUGGUGGGAUAAAAGCUUACCAAGCCGACGAUCUGUAGCUGGUCUGAGAGGACGAGCAGCCACACUGGGACUGAGAAACGGCCCAGACUCCUACGGGAGGCAGCAGUGGGGAAUUUUGGACAAUGGGCGCAAGCCUGAUCCAGCAAUGCCGCGUGCAGGAUGAAGGCCUUCGGGUUGUAAACUGCUUUUGUACGGAACGAAAAGCCCCGGGUUAAUACCCUGGGGUCAUGACGGUACCGUAAGAAUAAGCACCGGCUAACUACGUGCCAGCCGCCGCGGUAA
Molecule: ribosomal RNA, 498 nt
Filed under: uncultured bacterium
Lineage: Bacteria
Description: partial 16S ribosomal RNA
Rfam family: Bacterial small subunit ribosomal RNA
Source: RNAcentral